RNAcentral lists this ribosomal RNA (301 nucleotides) under uncultured bacterium. RNAcentral's name for it is "partial 16S ribosomal RNA". It matches the Rfam family "Bacterial small subunit ribosomal RNA", at positions 509 to 807 of the family's 1533-position model. The record is from RNAcentral.
CAGUAGCCACGGUAAUACGAAGGGGGCUAGCGUUGUUCGGAAUUACUGGGCGUAAAGCGCACGUAGGCGGAUAUUUAAGUCAGGGGUGAAAUCCCAGAGCUCAACUCUGGAACUGCCUUUGAUACUGGGUAUCUUGAGUAUGGAAGAGGUGAGUGGAAUUCCGAGUGUAGAGGUGAAAUUCGUAGAUAUUCGGAGGAACACCAGUGGCGAAGGCGGCUCACUGGUCCAUUACUGACGCUGAGGUGCGAAAGCGUGGGGAGCAAACAGGAUUAGAUACCCCGGUAGUCCCUGUCUCUUAUAC